This 678-nucleotide ribosomal RNA is filed under the name Bradyrhizobium sp. Its description in RNAcentral is "bacterial SSU rRNA". It matches the Rfam family "Bacterial small subunit ribosomal RNA", at positions 94 to 807 of the family's 1533-position model. Lineage: Bacteria; Pseudomonadati; Pseudomonadota; Alphaproteobacteria; Hyphomicrobiales; Nitrobacteraceae. The record is from RNAcentral.
AGUGGCAGACGGGUGAGUAACGCGUGGGAACGUACCUUUUGGUUCGGAACAACACAGGGAAACUUGUGCUAAUACCGGAUAAGCCCUUACGGGGAAAGAUUUAUCGCCGAAAGAUCGGCCCGCGUCUGAUUAGCUAGUUGGUGAGGUAACGGCUCACCAAGGCGACGAUCAGUAGCUGGUCUGAGAGGAUGAUCAGCCACAUUGGGACUGAGACACGGCCCAAACUCAUACGGGAGGCAGCAGUGGGGAAUAUUGGACAAUGGGCGCAAGCCUGAUCCAGCCAUGCCGCGUGAGUGAUGAAGGCCCUAGGGUUGUAAAGCUCUUUUGUGCGGGAAGAUAAUGACGGUACCGCAAGAAUAAGCCCCGGCUAACUUCGUGCCAGCAGCCGCGGUAAUACGAAGGGGGCUAGCGUUGCUCGGAAUCACUGGGCGUAAAGGGUGCGUAGGCGGGUCUUUAAGUCAGGGGUGAAAUCCUGGAGCUCAACUCCAGAACUGCCUUUGAUACUGAGGAUCUUGAGUUCGGGAGAGGUGAGUGGAACUGCGAGUGUAGAGGUGAAAUUCGUAGAUAUUCGCAAGAACACCAGUGGCGAAGGCGGCUCACUGGCCCGAUACUGACGCUGAGGCACGAAAGCGUGGGGAGCAAACAGGAUUAGAUACCCUGGUAGUCCACGCCGUAAAC